This 468-nucleotide ribosomal RNA is filed under the name uncultured bacterium. RNAcentral describes it as "partial 16S ribosomal RNA". It matches the Rfam family "Bacterial small subunit ribosomal RNA", at positions 28 to 507 of the family's 1533-position model. The record is from RNAcentral.
GACGAACGCUGGCGGCGUGCUUAACACAUGCAAGUCGAACGGAAAGGCCCUGCUUUUGUGGGGUGCUCGAGUGGCGAACGGGUGAGUAACACGUGAGUAACCUGCCCUUGACUUUGGGAUAACUUCAGGAAACUGGGGCUAAUACCGGAUAGGAGCUCCUGCUGCAUUGUGGGGGUUGGAAAGUUUCGGCGGUUGGGGAUGGACUCGCGGCUUAUCCGCUUGUUGGUGGGGUAGUGGCUUACCAAGGCUUUGACGGGUAGCCGGCCUGAGAGGGUGACCGGCCACAUUGGGACUGAGAGACGGCCCAGACUCCGACGGGAGGCAGCAGUGGGGAAUAUUGCACAAUGGGCGGAAGCCUGAUGCAGCAACGCCGCGUGCGGGAUGACGGCCUUCGGGUUGUAAACCGCUUUCGCCUGUGACGAAGCGUGAGUGACGGUAAUGGGUAAAGAAGCACCGGCUAACUACGUG